Salvia miltiorrhiza (redroot sage) is the source of this 481-nucleotide long non-coding RNA. RefSeq lists it as uncharacterized. The record is from RefSeq and is a predicted model, not a curated record. The transcript has 2 exons. Lineage: Eukaryota; Viridiplantae; Streptophyta; Magnoliopsida; Lamiales; Lamiaceae.
CUGGCAGACGUUCAACCCAUUCCCCAUCAAACCUCCAUUCUUUUUAUUUGCAAGCUCAAAUCUUAGCCUCUAAAAUCUCAAAUAUCAUUCAUAGAUCACAGAUUGAGGUUCGAGUGGCAGUGUAGAAUGAACAAGCAAGGACUUCUAUUUCAUUAAGCGUAUCAGGUUAAGCUGUGUGAUGCAGAUGGUAGCAUGCAGAGCAAAGCCCUCAAUGUAUAUAUAUAUAAUUUAGGCUCGGGAUUUCAUGUCCUCAUACAUGUAAUCCACUUGAGUUAUUUCCGCUGCAACACUUAAUGUACUUUACUUUUAUGAUGUGUUGUAGAGAUUUUAAACCAAUAGCUUCGAGAAUUAUAUCACUUAGACAACUUGUCGUUGUGUUAUUGUAAGUUGUCUACUCGUGAGUUUUAAAAGUGAUUGUAUAUGAUUACCAGACAUUAUGGUAAAGUCUUGCUUAAGCAGGAUAAUUAUUUUUAUUGAAACC